UACAGAGGGUGCGAGCGUUGUCCGGAAUCACUGGGCGUAAAGGGCGCGUAGGCGGCCUGAUAAGUAGGGGGUGAAAUUCUGCGGCUUAACCGCAGGACUGCCUCCUAAACUGUCGGGCUGGAGCACGGUAGAGGCAGAUGGAAUUCCCGGUGUAGCGGUGGAAUGCGUAGAGAUCGGGAAGAACAUCAGUGGCGAAGGCGGUCUGCUGGGCCGUUGCUGACGCUGAGGCGCGACAGCGUGGGGAGCAAACAGG
RNAcentral lists this ribosomal RNA (253 nucleotides) under uncultured bacterium. RNAcentral's name for it is "partial 16S ribosomal RNA". It matches the Rfam family "Bacterial small subunit ribosomal RNA", at positions 524 to 776 of the family's 1533-position model. The record is from RNAcentral.